Heterocephalus glaber (naked mole-rat) is the source of this 375-nucleotide long non-coding RNA. The record is from Ensembl. Lineage: Eukaryota; Metazoa; Chordata; Mammalia; Rodentia; Bathyergidae.
AAACUAGAUCUUGAGAGAAGGGCAGCGAGGGGCCAGCGGAAAUCUAGCCCAGGAGAUGGAGGUGUGAAGACACAGAGUGAAUGAACCGCGAGCCGAGGCAGGGCCCCUUGUGAGGAGAACAAAGGACAGAGGGCGUGGUGCAGCAAGGCCUGGCAGAGAAGAGGACUAUCUUCCUUCCCAGCCAUUCACCAGAGAAACAUCAAAGCUAUCAUGAGGUAAACAGCUUCCUCUGCACAUGCUCCCAUCAUCAUGUGCUGCCUCACCACAGGCCCCAAAACAACAGGACCAACUGACCAUGGACUGAACCUCUGACACUCUUCUACAGCUGCCCACAUUCCUUGGCAUGUGAUCUCUUUCUCCACUUUUAAAGUCAGA